This 442-nucleotide ribosomal RNA is filed under the name uncultured Pseudomonadota bacterium. RNAcentral's name for it is "bacterial SSU rRNA". It matches the Rfam family "Bacterial small subunit ribosomal RNA", at positions 917 to 1359 of the family's 1533-position model. Lineage: Bacteria; Pseudomonadati; Pseudomonadota. The record is from RNAcentral.
GGGCCCGCACAAGCGGUGGAUUAUGUGGUUUAAUUCGAAGCAACGCGCAGAACCUUACCUGGGCUUGAACUCCCACGAACUUUUCGUAAUGGAGAAGGUGCCCUCACGGGAAUGUGGAGAGAGGCGCUGCAUGGCUGUCGUCAGCUCGUGUUGUGAAAUGUUGGGUUAAGUCUCGCAACGAGCGCAACCCCCGUUCUUAGUUGCUACUAUUAAGUUAAGCACUCUAAGAAGACUGCCUGGGUUAACCAGGAGGAAGGUGGGGAUGACGUCAAGUCCUCAUGGCCCUUAUGUCCAGGGCUACACACGUAAUACAAUGAUUAAUACAAAGGGAUGCCAACUCGUAAGAGGGAGCUAAUCUCAAAAAAUUAUCUCAGUUCGGAUUGGAGUCUGCAACUCGACUCCAUGAAGUUGGAAUCGCUAGUAAUCGCGGAUCAGCACGCCG